CCUACGGGGGGCUGCAGUGAGGAAUAUUGGUCAAUGGACGAGAGUCUGAACCAGCCAAGUAGCGUGAAGGAUGACUGCCCUAUGGGUUGUAAACUUCUUUUAUAUGGGAAUAAAAUGUUCCACGUGUGGGAUUUUGUAUGUACCAUAUGAAUAAGGAUCGGCUAACUCCGUGCCAGCAGCCGCGGUAAUACGGAGGGUCCGAGCGUUAUCCGGAUUUAUUGGGUUUAAAGGGAGCGUAGGUGGAUUGUUAAGUCAGUUGUGAAAGUUUGCGGCUCAACCGUAAAAUUGCAGUUGAAACUGGCAGUCUUGAGUACAGUAGAGGUGAGCGGAAUUCGUGGUGUAGCGGUGAAAUGCUUAGAUAUCACGAAGAACUCCGAUUGCGAAGGCAGUUCACUGGACUGCAACUGACACUGAGGCUCGAAAGUGUGGGUAUCAAACAGGAUUAGAUACCCGAGUAGUC
This 460-nucleotide ribosomal RNA is filed under the name uncultured bacterium. RNAcentral's name for it is "partial 16S ribosomal RNA". It matches the Rfam family "Bacterial small subunit ribosomal RNA", at positions 338 to 795 of the family's 1533-position model. The record is from RNAcentral.